AAAAAAACAUCCCAUUCUCAUGAAUCUCAUCCUAAAAAAUCUGAGAAAAAACAACUUUUGGUCUCUCGAUAUCCCCUUCUCAUUUAUAGCUUUCUUUAUUCUCCUCUUCUCUCUUUGUAAGCCUUUCAUCUCCUCUCCUCUUCGAUCUCGUUGCAUUGCCUCUUGCUCUCUCUCCUAAGAUUUGUGGGCUUCACCGACCAGAUCUAGGAACAUUGGGAAGGGUUCACUUAAGUACAAAGGCGUUCAGCUUCAAUUCGCCAUCGUAGUUAUCGAUUUUGUUAUUUUUCCGACUGGUUUUUAUGGAUCAGAUGAAGAAACUGUUCAAUAACCUUGAUGAUUCUUCUCUCGACCCAUCUCCCUCAAAGGAAGAGUCUAUUGGGUUUCUGAGCUUUAGCAGAGUUCUGAUUGUUGACAGGUAUGAUUAUUCGGGUUAUGGGAGGUCUUUAGGAUCAGUCUAUGGCUUUUGGAUCUGACAGAGGUCAUUUCAUUGAGAUGAUGGUCUAGCAGGUUUGAAUCACGGAUUUCACGGACAGGUUCAUGGAAGAAACUGUGUGACUGUUUAGUCUCUAGGUGGUUUAGCUUAUGAAGUUUUUGUUAUGUUAACAUGUUUAAUGGAUUUCAUAUUUGUUAAUGAGUUAUUUUGACAAGUGUAUCUCAGCUGCUGUACAAGGCUAUGAAGGAAUCAAGAGAGUCAAUGGAAGUUGGGCAUAUCACAAGAUUGUGUUGCUAGUUUACAACUCAGGUGGAUAAUUGGUUGAGCUCCUCUAUUGGCGAGGAUUAGAUGUAUGAAAAUUGGUUUGACUAUUCUAAAGAGAUUACAGUUUCCUAUAGUGGAUGCAACUGGACUUAGUUUAUUAAACUCAUGCUUGUAAUUUGCUUUGGGGGUUGGAGUGAUAGUGAGUAUCAAUUAUCAAAGAGGAAGGAUAGUGUGUUCAUCUACUUAUUUUUAAUUAUGUUUUUAAUUUUAUUUUGUAA
Non-coding RNA from Camelina sativa (false flax), 975 nucleotides. The record is from RefSeq and is a predicted model, not a curated record. NCBI's taxonomy places the organism in Eukaryota, Viridiplantae, Streptophyta, Magnoliopsida, Brassicales, Brassicaceae.